RNAcentral lists this ribosomal RNA (496 nucleotides) under uncultured bacterium. RNAcentral's name for it is "partial 16S ribosomal RNA". It matches the Rfam family "Bacterial small subunit ribosomal RNA", at positions 28 to 506 of the family's 1533-position model. The record is from RNAcentral.
GAUGAACGCUGGCGGCGUGCCUAAUACAUGCAAGUCGAGCGAACAGACGAGGAGCUUGCUCCUCUGACGUUAGCGGCGGACGGGUGAGUAACACGUGGAUAACCUACCUAUAAGACUGGGAUAACUUCGGGAAACCGGAGCUAAUACCGGAUAACAUGUUGAACCGCAUGGUUCAACAGUGAAAGACGGUCUUGCUGUCACUUAUAGAUGGAUCCGCGCCGCAUUAGCUAGUUGGUAAGGUAACGGCUUACCAAGGCAACGAUGCGUAGCCGACCUGAGAGGGUGAUGGGGCACUGAGAAAGUGAGACGCGGGCCAGACACAUACGGGAGGCAGCAGCAGGGACUGGAGCGAAAUGGGCGAAAGCCUGAAGGAGCAGCGGCGCGUGGGUGAAGAAGGUCUGCGGAUCGUAAAACGCUGUUAUUAGGGAAGAACAAAUGUGCAAGUAACGAUGCACGUCUUGCGGGUACGGGAUCAGAAGGCCACGGCUAACUACGU